CUUUUUUUAAAAAUUUAAGAGUAAAUAAACGGGUAACAUCGUUACUAUACAAACUGGCAGAAACAAAAACACAAAAAACAAAACAAACAAACAAAAAAACUGUUUCAAGAUAAAUGUUCAGCAGUUGAUGGCUUUUUCUCACGAUGGUCUGCGGAUGCCACUGUGGGCAGUGCCGAUAAUGCCAAUGGCUCGGCUGAUGCCAGGAGGAGCAGAGAGCCCUGCCAGGGGUGGCUGUGCCUCUUGAGUGCAGGCUUGCUGCAAAGUUGUACGGCUGGACUGGGAUCCUCACCGCCCCUCCCCUAGUCACCCUGGCCUCGUUUCCUUACAGCUUCGUUUCUCCCUCUCCCCCCCAGUGUGCCUACCUAGGGCGCCUGGCUCAUGAGGUUGGCUGGAAGUACCAGGCAGUAACGGCUACACUGGAGGAGAAGAGAAAGGAGAAGGCCAAGAUCCACUACCGGAAAAAGAAGCAGCUCAUGAGGCUACGGAAGCAGGCCGAAAAGAACACAGAGAAGAAAAUUGACAAAUUCACAGAGCGUCUUGCAGGGAAAGAG
Balaenoptera musculus (blue whale) is the source of this 551-nucleotide long non-coding RNA. RefSeq lists it as uncharacterized. NCBI's taxonomy places the organism in Eukaryota, Metazoa, Chordata, Mammalia, Artiodactyla, Balaenopteridae. The record is from RefSeq and is a predicted model, not a curated record. The transcript is spliced from 3 exons.